This 511-nucleotide ribosomal RNA is filed under the name uncultured bacterium. Its description in RNAcentral is "bacterial SSU rRNA". It matches the Rfam family "Bacterial small subunit ribosomal RNA", at positions 17 to 518 of the family's 1533-position model. The record is from RNAcentral.
UUCUGGCUCAGGAUGAACGCUAGCUACAGGCUUAACACAUGCAAGUCGAGGGGCAGCAUGAAGUUUGCUGCAAACUUGAUGGCGACCGGCGCACGGGUGAGUAACGCGUAUCCAACCUUCCCUAUACUAGAGGAUAGCCCGGCGAAAGUCGGAUUAAUACUCUAUGUUCUUCGUAGAAGACAUCUGAAAUGAAGCAAAGGUUUACCGGUAUAGGAUGGGGAUGCGUCUGAUUAGGUUGUUGGCGGGGUAACGGCCCACCAAGCCCACGAUCAGUAGGGGUUCUGAGAGGAAGGUCCCCCACAUUGGAACUGAGACACGGUCCAAACUCCUACGGGAGGCAGCAGUGAGGAAUAUUGGUCAAUGGACGAGAGUCUGAACCAGCCAAGUAGCCGUGCAGGAUGACGGCCCUAUGGGUUGUAAACUGCUUUUAUACAGGGAUAAAGUUCACUACGUGUAGUGUUUUGUAGGUACUGUAUGAAUAAGGACCGGCUAAUUCCGUGCCAGCCGCGGC